GGACGAGAGCGGUCGACUGCGAGUGCUCCCCCCCGCUGCGCUGGUCACAGUGCGCCGGCGAAAUCCAUCACCUUCCCUCAUUAGGGUAACGGAUGGAUAAGACGACCAUAAUUCCUCUCUCUCUCCCCCCCCCCUCCUCUAUCCAAGCGUCUGCAUAUUCUCUCUCACGGUCGCGACGGCGAUGGUGACAAGAACUUCUUCCUUUUUAGGUAUCUAAAGAGAGCGGCCGUCGACGACCAGGCCGUCGGGUGCGUCCAACUGCGCAGGUUCAGCGGCUUCUGGCUGAUUCCGAUGAGCUCGUGCCAUCGUCUUCCUAGACAGUCGAGGUAGGCCUUCACAUGCCCCC
Molecule: long non-coding RNA, 346 nt
Filed under: Spirodela polyrhiza (greater duckweed)
Lineage: Eukaryota; Viridiplantae; Streptophyta; Magnoliopsida; Alismatales; Araceae
Description: long non-coding RNA (SPOL_LNC000312)
Source: RNAcentral